This 1083-nucleotide long non-coding RNA is filed under the name Anas platyrhynchos platyrhynchos (common mallard). Its description in RNAcentral is "lncRNA (ENSAPLG00000019009.1)". The record is from RNAcentral. Lineage: Eukaryota; Metazoa; Chordata; Aves; Anseriformes; Anatidae.
UUAAAACCCCCCAAAUACGAGCUCCUCCAGCCCAUUUUGGAAGGGUGCAAUGGGGGUGAGAUGCUCGCAGCCCCCCCUCACCCCAUAACCCCCCCAAAAAGGGGGAUGCAGCAGCCCCCAGCUCGCCCUUGGAGCCCCCCCCCCCCCCCAGGGUUCCCCCCCCCCAAAACCCCCCACCGGGGCAGGUUGCGGGGGGGCCCCUGCGAAGUAACCGGGGGGGGGGGGGGAAGGAAAAGGGGGGGCUGGAAAAAAAAUAAUUAAAAUAAUAAAAUAAAGGGGGGGGGGAAGGAAAGGGAGGGCGCAGGCUCUACCAUUUUGAUGCAAAGGUCUCCGCGCAAAGGAGUCCCGGUCCUCCUCCGCUUGCCUGGGGUUUGUGCUCUCCAUGAAAAAAAAGGAGCUGGUGGGUUGGGUGGGUUGCUGGCUUGGUGGCUUUUUUUUUUUUUUUUUCCUUUUUUUUUCUUUUUUCUUUUUUUUGCUGCCUUUUUUUUUAUUAUUAUUAUUAUUUUUUCUCUUCUUCCCCUUUCCCUUUUUUUUUUUUCUCCCCUCCGCCUUUUUUUUUUCUCGCCCUUUUUGCUCUCCCCCCUUUUCCUCUCCUCUUCCUCUCCUCCCUCGCUCCUUCACCUCAUCCUGCCCAUCGCCAUGUUAGCCCCUUUUGGGAAGAACGGAGGAAUGCGGAGCGGCGGCGGCUCCGGCUGCCAAGAGCCCUUGGGCCGCUGAUUGGAGCCGCAGCAUCAGCUGGGGCCGCCGCUGCCCCCCCUUAAAGGGACAGGCCCCGGCCUCUACUCACCCCCCCCCGGGACCCCCCCCUAUUCCUGUCACCCCCCUCGACCCCCUAAGAUCCUCCCCUGACCCCCCUUUUUCCCCCCCUACCCCCGUGGGGGGACCCCACCGAGCAGCGCGAGCAUUGCGGAGGGGGAAACUGAGGCACCGUGGAGAGGUCUGGGCUUAAAAGAUUUUAAGAAAUAUAUAUAAAAAAAGAGGGUUUGGGGUUGCAAAAGGGUGAGUUGGGGAGGUGUGGGGGGUCAGCAAGCUCGGUUUUGUUUAAAAAAUAAAAAAAAAAAUAGGGGGAAAUGGGGGUGUGGA